This 470-nucleotide ribosomal RNA is filed under the name Rhodoferax sp. RNAcentral describes it as "bacterial SSU rRNA". It matches the Rfam family "Bacterial small subunit ribosomal RNA", at positions 394 to 857 of the family's 1533-position model. The record is from RNAcentral. Lineage: Bacteria; Pseudomonadati; Pseudomonadota; Betaproteobacteria; Burkholderiales; Comamonadaceae.
AUGCCGCGUGCAGGACGAAGGCCUUCGGGUUGUAAACUGCUUUUGUACGGAACGAAACGGUCCUUUCUAAUAAAGAGGGCUAAUGACGGUACCGUAAGAAUAAGCACCGGCUAACUACGUGCCAGCAGCCGCGGUAAUACGUAGGGUGCGAGCGUUAAUCGGAAUUACUGGGCGUAAAGCGUGCGCAGGCGGUUAUAUAAGACAGAUGUGAAAUCCCCGGGCUCAACCUGGGACCUGCAUUUGUGACUGUAUAGCUAGAGUACGGUAGAGGGGGAUGGAAUUCCGCGUGUAGCAGUGAAAUGCGUAGAUAUGCGGAGGAACACCGAUGGCGAAGGCAAUCCCCUGGACCUGUACUGACGCUCAUGCACGAAAGCGUGGGGAGCAAACAGGAUUAGAUACCCUGGUAGUCCACGCCCUAAACGAUGUCAACUGGUUGUUGGGUCUUCACUGACUCAGUAACGAAGCUAACG